Molecule: ribosomal RNA, 553 nt
Filed under: Kingella kingae
Lineage: Bacteria; Pseudomonadati; Pseudomonadota; Betaproteobacteria; Neisseriales; Neisseriaceae
Description: bacterial SSU rRNA
Rfam family: Bacterial small subunit ribosomal RNA
Source: RNAcentral
GAACAUAAGAGUUUGAUCCUGGCUCAGAUUGAACGCUGGCGGCAUGCUUUACACAUGCAAGUCGGACGGCAGCACGAGUACUUGUACUUGGUGGCGAGUGGCGAACGGGUGAGUAAUAUAUUGGAACGUACCGAGUAAUGGGGGAUAACUAUCCGAAAGGAUAGCUAAUACCGCAUACGCUUUGAGAAGGAAAGCAGGGGAUCUUCGGACCUUGCGUUAUUCGAGCGGCCAAUAACUGAUUAGCUAGUUGGUGGGGUAAGGGCCUACCAAGGCGACGAUCAGUAGUGGGUCUGAGAGGAUGAUCCGCCACACUGGGACUGAGACACGGCCCAGACUCCUACGGGAGGCAGCAGUGGGGAAUUUUGGACAAUGGGCGAAAGCCUGAUCCAGCCAUGCCGCGUGUCUGAAGAAGGCCUUCGGGUUGUAAAGGACUUUUGUUAGGGAAGAAAAGGUUGAUGCUAAUAUCAUUAACUGAUGACGGUACCUAAAGAAUAAGCACCGGCUAACUACGUGCCAGCAGCCGCGGUAAUACGUCUGUCUCUUAUACACAUCU